UAGGGAAUCUUCGGCAAUGGACGAAAGUCUGACCGAGCAACGCCGCGUGAGUGAAGAAGGUUUUCGGAUCGUAAAACUCUGUUGUUAGAGAAGAACAAGGACGUUAGUAACUGAACGUCCCCUGACGGUAUCUAACCAGAAAGCCACGGCUAACUACGUGCCAGCAGCCGCGGUAAUACGUAGGUGGCAAGCGUUGUCCGGAUUUAUUGGGCGUAAAGCGAGCGCAGGCGGUUUCUUAAGUCUGAUGUGAAAGCCCCCGGCUCAACCGGGGAGGGUCAUUGGAAACUGGGUGACUUGAGUGCAGAAGAGGGGAGUGGAAUUCCAUGUGAAGCGGUGAAAUGCGUAGAUAUAUGGAGGAACACCAGUGGCGAAGGCUGCUCUCUGGUCUGUAACUGACGCUGAGGCUCGAAAGCGUGGGGAGCAAACAGG
This 429-nucleotide ribosomal RNA is filed under the name Gemmatimonadota bacterium. Its description in RNAcentral is "Gemmatimonadetes bacterium partial 16S ribosomal RNA". It matches the Rfam family "Bacterial small subunit ribosomal RNA", at positions 355 to 776 of the family's 1533-position model. The record is from RNAcentral. Lineage: Bacteria; Pseudomonadati; Gemmatimonadota.